GGGUUAGGAGUAGGGUUAGGGUAGGGUUAGGAGCAGGGUUAGGGUUGGUCCUAACCCUACCCUACCCCUAACCCUACUCCUAACCAUACCCUAACCCUACCCUAGCCCUACUCCUAACCCUACCCCAGCCCCAAUCCUACCCCUACCC
Pelobates cultripes (western spadefoot toad) is the source of this 148-nucleotide non-coding RNA. The record is from the annotation of a GenBank genome assembly. Lineage: Eukaryota; Metazoa; Chordata; Amphibia; Anura; Pelobatidae.